GCAUUUCUCCCCGAGAUGGCGGGUCUGACGGCGGCGGCCCCACGGCCCGGAGUCCUCCUGCUCCUGCUGUCCAUCCUCCACCCCUCUCGGCCUGGAGGGGUCCCUGGGGCCAUUCCUGGUGGAGUUCCUGGAGGAGUCUUUUAUCCAGGGGCUGGUCUCGGAGCCCUUGGAGGAGGAGCACUGGCGCCUGGAGUCAAACCUCUUAAGCCAGGGCUCGGCGCCUUCCCCGCAGUUACCUUUCCGGGGGCUCUGGUGCCUGGUGGAGUGGCUGACGCUGCUGCAGCCUAUAAAGCUGCUAAGGCUGGCGCUGGGCUUGGUGGUGUCCCAGGAGUUGGUGGCUUAGGAGUGUCUGCAGGUGCGGUGGUUCCUCAGCCUGGAGCCGGAGUGAAGCCUGGGAAAGUGCCGGGUGUGGGGCUGCCAGGUGUAUACCCAGGUGGCGUGCUCCCAGGAGCUCGGUUCCCCGGUGUGGGGGUGCUCCCUGGAGUUCCCACUGGAGCAGGAGUUAAGCCCAAGGCUCCAGGUAUGCAGCUGUCUGGACAGAG
RNAcentral lists this small RNA (542 nucleotides) under Pan troglodytes (chimpanzee). RNAcentral describes it as "retained intron". The record is from RNAcentral. Lineage: Eukaryota; Metazoa; Chordata; Mammalia; Primates; Hominidae.